Molecule: long non-coding RNA, 1815 nt
Filed under: Eutrema salsugineum
Lineage: Eukaryota; Viridiplantae; Streptophyta; Magnoliopsida; Brassicales; Brassicaceae
Description: long non-coding RNA (ESAL_LNC001974)
Source: RNAcentral
UGAAACUUAAUCUCACUCAAAAGCCUUAUAUUAUGGUCAUUGAAUAGCUUUACUUAUUGUGGGCAGUCACAAUGGGAGAGCUUAUAUGAUGAGAAAAGACGCGCUGUCAAUCGCUGUUCCUCGGCUGCAGCUUUCAUUGACUGGUGCAACAAGCUGGUAGAUAAAUUGCAGAAGGCUCUUGAAAAGCUACCUACAACAGAAACAACAACAGAAGAAACCAUUGAUCAUGUAAUGCUAAUCCAAACAAGCAAUAUCAUUAUGAUCUUAUAGAUAUGAGAACCAGCUCCAGAUGUAACACAAAUCUAUCAUAAUCAUAACCUUUAAACUUGCUUUGUGUAUUUAGAACAUGCAAUUCUCGAUGUUCAAAAGCGGUAAAACCUCAGCACAAGAAAACAUGAUGAUAUUUCGGCAGAAAGCAGAAUGCCAGAAACUGAACAGUGAAGUAAUAGGUGUUUUCAAAGAUACCGACGAUCAGGUAUUGUUAAUAUUGUUAAGCUUAAACCCCCAAGAUUCAAAAUCUACUUACUAGUACCAUUAGUGUCCUCUUAACUUUUUGUCUUUCCAUAUAAUUAGCUCUACUACGUUCAACGAAAAAUGCCAAGGAUCGACAGCAGAAAAGCUGUACACGGUCUUCUAAAAAAAGGUUAAAGAGAAGAACAAAUAUCGAGACAAAGCUCUUUCAAAUUGUACACUAGUUUGUAACUCAACUAAUCAUGAGAGUUUGAGAAAAUCUGUGGAGCUGGAAAUAAAAGUAAGACAAAUCUCUUACUUUAUUUGAGCACUAGCCUAUCUUACUUUAGACCAACCAAUGAGAAUAUGUUUGCAAAUGAACUAGGUUCUGAAGAAGCUGAUUAGAGAACUUUAAAAAGACUGGGAAGAAAAACUGCAUGUAAAGCAAUACGCAACGAAUAUACAUAAAGAUUUCACACAAAAGGUGAAGCGUCUAGAGGAGAAACGCGAACACUUAUCGGGACAGUGGGACGAUGAAAGGAAAGCCAUGCUCGGGAUGAAGAAAAAGAAUGAUAGGAGGAUAGGUACAUAUCCAGAAGCGAAAUAAUGUAUAUCAAGAUGUUGUUGAUAAGUAACAUGAUGGGUUGUAAAUGCAAUGUAUUAAUUUGGGGCUUGGAGCCUUUCAUUUUUCCUAAACCGUUCACCAAAAUUUCAACUGCAUAGUUUCACUACAAAGUUAUGUUCCUUCGACUAUAGAAAGACUUCGCAAUCUUCAGCUAUAUAGUCAUCAAGUGAUUCUACCAAAGCAAAAGGUUUCUUUUAGAACUUAAUUUCCAGAAUUUGAUCUCUCAAAAUUGAAAUUCCCAAAACGAAAAGAUCAAGGUCAAAAGCAAUUAACUUCAAAUUAAGGGAUUGAGACUAAAUUAGCAAAGUUAGACCAAGCCAAUGUAGAUUAAACUAAACGAUACUAAUCAGGUGGCUGAAUUAGUUCAGUAGCAAACAAAUUAAUCUAAAAAAAAGAAUGGAUAAAGACAAUUAAUUAGCAAGAAGGUAAACUUCCACGAAACAGCACAACAGUCACUAUCCCUUGUUCUUUAAGCUUUGACUCAACAUAUCUAAGUCAUUGCAUAAUACUUAUAAAACAAUAAAAUGAAGAAAUUCAACAACCAAGAACGUCAUAAAUAGCAGAACCAGAUUUGGCCUCAAAGUCACUAACCUUUGGAAUGGCAUCAUCAUCAUCAUCUUCUCCAAUCAAAUUCAUAGAAAAGGCACUUCUUGCCACCGGCCAAUUUGCUCUGUCCUACACCGAUCCAGAUCAGAAAUGGCUCAUCAGAAAGCAUCUAAUUUCUUUCCUCCAAGAUUUUC